Non-coding RNA from Tilletia controversa (dwarf bunt fungus), 87 nucleotides. NCBI's taxonomy places the organism in Eukaryota, Fungi, Basidiomycota, Exobasidiomycetes, Tilletiales, Tilletiaceae. The record is from Rfam.
GCAUUAGUAGUUUAGUGGUAAAAUAGGCGCUUGCCAUCACAUGAGAUUCAAUUGCGCCUGCCGAGGGUUCGAUUCCCUCCUAAUGCA